This 111-nucleotide non-coding RNA is filed under the name uncultured Clostridium sp. Its description in RNAcentral is "FMN riboswitch (RFN element)". It matches the Rfam family "FMN riboswitch aptamer (RFN element)". From Rfam's summary of the family: The RFN element is a highly conserved domain that is found frequently in the 5'-untranslated regions of prokaryotic mRNAs that encode for flavin mononucleotide (FMN) biosynthesis and transport proteins. This element is a metabolite-dependent riboswitch that directly binds FMN in the absence of proteins. The record is from RNAcentral. Lineage: Bacteria; Bacillati; Bacillota; Clostridia; Eubacteriales; Clostridiaceae.
UUCUUCGGGGCGGGGUGCAAAUCCCCACCGGCGGUACAGUCCGCGACCUGCAUGAUGCAGCUGAUCCGGUGAGAUUCCGGAACCGACAGUAUAGUCUGGAUGAGAGAAGAA